CCAGCAGCGGUCCGCGGCCUCGGCCCGGUCCACUCACCCUGUGCGUACCUUUUGGAGCGUUGCUUUGGCGGGCCCCCGCGCCCGCCAGAGGUCGUUGACAACUCUGUUAUUUCGGACUGUCUGAGUGUCUCACAAAUGAAUUA
RNAcentral lists this unclassified non-coding RNA (143 nucleotides) under uncultured Ascomycota. RNAcentral's name for it is "sequence contains ITS1". The record is from RNAcentral. Lineage: Eukaryota; Fungi; Ascomycota.